This 28-nucleotide transfer RNA is filed under the name Lachnaea globulifera subsp. incana. RNAcentral's name for it is "partial transfer RNA-Phe". The record is from RNAcentral. Lineage: Eukaryota; Viridiplantae; Streptophyta; Magnoliopsida; Malvales; Thymelaeaceae.
CGGGAUAGCUCAGCUGGUAGAGCAAAGG